Molecule: ribosomal RNA, 465 nt
Filed under: uncultured bacterium
Lineage: Bacteria
Description: partial 16S ribosomal RNA
Rfam family: Bacterial small subunit ribosomal RNA
Source: RNAcentral
GACGAACGCUGGCGGCGUGCUUAACACAUGCAAGUCGAACGGUAAGGCCCCUUCGGGGGUACACGAGUGGCGAACGGGUGCGUAACACGUGAGCAACCUGCCCUUGACUCUGGAAUAACAGUUGGAAACAGCUGCUAAUACUGGAUAUUCAUCGUCUCCUUCCUGGGGGGUGGUGGAAAGCUCCGGCGGUCAGGGAUGGGCUGGCGGCCUAUCAGCUUGUUGGUGAGGUAAUGGCUCACCAAGGCUUCGACGGGUAGCCGGCCUGAGAGGGCGACCGGCCACACGGGGACUGAGAUACGGCCCAGACUCCUACGGGAGGCAGCAGUGGGGAAUAUUGCACAGUGGGCGCAAGCCUGAUGCAGCAACGCCGCGUGCGGGAUGACGGCCUUCGGGUUGUAAACCGCUUUCAGUAGGGACGAAGGGUGACUGACGGUACCUACAGAAGAAGGACCGGCUAACUACGUG